Molecule: ribosomal RNA, 250 nt
Filed under: Salmonella enterica
Lineage: Bacteria; Pseudomonadati; Pseudomonadota; Gammaproteobacteria; Enterobacterales; Enterobacteriaceae
Also listed under: 14 other names
Description: partial 23S ribosomal RNA
Rfam family: Bacterial large subunit ribosomal RNA
Source: RNAcentral
GUAAUAGCUCACUGGUCGAGUCGGCCUGCGCGGAAGAUGUAACGGGGCUAAACCAUGCACCGAAGCUGCGGCAGCGAACGUAUCACCCAAGACAACUUUGCGGAGUUGACGAUUGACGGAGCGAAGCGACGUCAAAGCGUUCAUUAAAGUCGAGUUGGCUUAGGGAUACGUUCGUUGGGUAGGGGAGCGUUCUGUAAGCCUGUGAAGGUGGCCUGUGAGGGUUGCUGGAGGUAUCAGAAGUGCGAAUGCU